Molecule: ribosomal RNA, 2079 nt
Filed under: Streptomyces griseus
Lineage: Bacteria; Bacillati; Actinomycetota; Actinomycetes; Kitasatosporales; Streptomycetaceae
Description: partial 23S ribosomal RNA
Rfam family: Bacterial large subunit ribosomal RNA
Source: RNAcentral
GGCCAAGUUUUUAAGGGCGCACGGUGGAUGCCUUGGCACCAGGAACCGAUGAAGGACGUGGGAGGCCACGAUAGUCCCCGGGGAGCUGUCAACCAAGCUUUGAUCCGGGGGUUUCCGAAUGGGGAAACCCGGCAGUCGUCAUGGGCUGUCACCCGCUGCUGAACACAUAGGCAGUGUGGAGGGAACGAGGGGAAGUGAAACAUCUCAGUACCCUCAGGAAGAGAAAACAACCGUGAUUCCGGGAGUAGUGGCGAGCGAAACUGGAUGAGGCCAAACCGUAUGCGUGUGAUACCCGGCAGGGGUUGCGUAUGCGGGGUUGUGGGAGUUCUCUUUCACAGUCUGCCGGCUGUGAGGCGAGUCAGAAACCGUUGAUGUAGGCGAAGGACAUGCGAAAGGUCCGGCGUAGAGGGUAAGACCCCCGUAGCUGAAACAUUGACGGCUCGUUUGAGAACCACCCAAGUAGCACGGGGCCCGAGAAAUCCCGUGUGAAUCUGGCGGGACCACCCGCUAAGCCUAAAUAUUCCCUGGUGACCGAUAGCGGAUAGUACCGUGAGGGAAUGGUGAAAAGUACCGCGGGAGCGGAGUGAAAUAGUACCUGAAACCGUGUGCCUACAAGCCGUGGGAGCGUCGCACAUCGAGCUUGCUCGGUGUGUCGUGACUGCGUGCCUUUUGAAGAAUGAGCCUGCGAGUUAGCGGUGUGUAGCGAGGUUAACCCGUGUGGGGAAGCCGUAGCGAAAGCGAGUCCGAACAGGGCGUUUGAGUUGCACGCUCUAGACCCGAAGCGGAGUGAUCUAGCCAUGGGCAGGUUGAAGCGGAGGUAAGACUUCGUGGAGGACCGAACCCACCAGGGUUGAAAACCUGGGGGAUGACCUGUGGUUAGGGGUGAAAGGCCAAUCAAACUCCGUGAUAGCUGGUUCUCCCCGAAAUGCAUUUAGGUGCAGCGUCGUGUGUUUCUUGCCGGAGGUAGAGCACUGGAUAGGCGAUGGGCCCUACCGGGUUACUGACCUUAGCCAAACUCCGAAUGCCGGUAAGUGAGAGCGCGGCAGUGAGACUGUGGGGGAUAAGCUCCAUGGUCGAGAGGGAAACAGCCCAGAGCAUCGACUAAGGCCCCUAAGCGUACGCUAAGUGGGAAAGGAUGUGGAGUCGCAGAGACAACCAGGAGGUUGGCUUAGAAGCAGCCACCCUUGAAAGAGUGCGUAAUAGCUCACUGGUCAAGUGAUUCCGCGCCGACAAUGUAGCGGGGCUCAAGCGUACCGCCGAAGUCGUGUCAAUCCAACGUAUAGGGCCAACGCCUGUUGGGUUGGGUAGGGGAGCGUCGUGUGCCGGGUGAAGCAGCCGUGGAAGCGAGUUGUGGACGGUUCACGAGUGAGAAUGCAGGCAUGAGUAGCGAUACACACGUGAGAAACGUGUGCGCCGAUUGACUAAGGGUUCCUGGGUCAAGCUGAUCUGCCCAGGGUAAGUCGGGACCUAAGGCGAGGCCGACAGGCGUAGUCGAUGGACAACCGGUUGAUAUUCCGGUACCCGCUUUGAAACGCCCAGUACUGAAUCAGGCGAUGCUAAGUCCGUGAAGCCGGCCCGAUCUCUUCGGAGUUGAGGGUAGUGGUGGAGCCGAUGAACCAGACUUGUAGUAGGUAAGCGAUGGGGUGACGCAGGAAGGUAGUCCAGCCCGGGCGGUGGUUGUCCCGGGGUAAGGGUGUAGGACGUUGUGUAGGCAAAUCCGCGCAACAUGAAGUCUGAGACCUGAUGCCGAGCCGAUUGUGGUGAAGUGGAUGAUCCUAUGCUGUCGAGAAAAGCCUCUAGCGAGUUUCAUGGCGGCCCGUACCCUAAACCGACUCAGGUGGUCAGGUAGAGAAUACCGAGGCGUUCGGGUGAACUAUGGUUAAGGAACUCGGCAAAAUGCCCCCGUAACUUCGGGAGAAGGGGGGCCAUCACUGGUGAUCGGACUUGCUCCGUGAGCUGGGGGUGGCCGCAGAGACCAGCGAGAAGCGACUGUUUACUAAAAACACAGGUCCGUGCGAAGCCGUAAGGCGAUGUAUACGGACUGACGCCUGCCCGGUGCUGGAACGUUAAGGGGACCGG